UACAGAGGUCUCAAGCGUUGUUCGGAUUCAUUGGGCGUAAAGUGUGCGUAGGCGGCGCGGUAAGUCGGGUGUGAAAUCUUGGAGCUUAACUCCGAAACUGCAUUCGAUACUGCCGUGCUCGAGGACUGGAGAGGAGACUGGAAUUUACGGUGUAGCGGUGAAAUGCGUAGAUAUCGUAAGGAAGACCAGUGGCGAAGGCGGGUAUCUGGACAGUUCCUGACGCUGAGGCACGAAGGCCAGGGGAGCAAACGGG
RNAcentral lists this ribosomal RNA (253 nucleotides) under uncultured bacterium. RNAcentral describes it as "partial 16S ribosomal RNA". It matches the Rfam family "Bacterial small subunit ribosomal RNA", at positions 524 to 776 of the family's 1533-position model. The record is from RNAcentral.